GAUUAACGCUGGCGGCGUGCCUAACACAUGCAAGUCGAGCGGCAGCGAGUUUUACACUGACUUCUGGAAGCUUCUAGUUGAAAGAGAAGAUUUAUUCAAGAAUUUUGUGUAAAAUGUCGGCGAGCGGCGGACGGCUGAGUAACGCGUGGGAACGUACCCCAAAGUGCGGGAUAACGCAUCGAAAGGUGUGCUAAUACCGCAUAUGGUCUUCGGAUUAAAGCCUUCGGGCGCUUUGGGAACGGCCUGCGUAAGAUUAGAUAGUUGGUGGGGUAAUGGCCUACCAAGUCGACGAUCUUUAACUGGUUUGAGAGGAUGAUCAGUCAGACUGGAACUGAGACACGGUCCAGACUCCUACGGGAGGCAGCAGUGAGGAAUCUUGGACAAUGGGCGAAAGCCUGAUCCAGCCAUGCCGCGUGUGUGAAGAAGGUCUUCGGAUUGUAAAGCACUUUAAGUUGGGAGGAAGGGCAGUAAGUUAAUACCUUGCUGUUUUGACGUUACCAACAGAAUAAGCACCGGCUAACUUCGUG
RNAcentral lists this ribosomal RNA (527 nucleotides) under uncultured bacterium. RNAcentral's name for it is "partial 16S ribosomal RNA". It matches the Rfam family "Bacterial small subunit ribosomal RNA", at positions 28 to 507 of the family's 1533-position model. The record is from RNAcentral.